GACGAACGCUGGCGGCGUGCUUAACACAUGCAAGUCGAACGGUGAAGCGCCUUCCUUUUUGGUGGGUGUGGAUGAGUGGCGAACGGGUGAGUAACACGUGAGUAACCUGCCCCCUUCUUCUGGAUAACCGCAUGAAAGUGUGGCUAAUACGGGAUAUUCUGGGUCUGUCGCAUGAUGGGUCUGGGAAAGAUAUUGUUUCGGUGGGGGAUGGGCUCGCGGCCUAUUAGCUUGUUGGUGGGGUGAUGGCCUACCAAGGCGGUGACGGGUAGCCGGCCUGAGAGGGUGGACGGUCACACUGGGACUGAGACACGGCCCAGACUCCUACGGGAGGCGGCAGUGGGGAAUAUUGCACAAUGGGCGCAAGCCUGAUGCAGCGACGCCGCGUGAGGGAUGGAGGCCUUCGGGUUGUGAACCUCUUUCGCCAGUGAAGCAGGCCUGCCUCGUUUGUGGGUGGGUUGACGGUAGCUGGAUAAGAAGCGCCGGCUAACUACGUG
RNAcentral lists this ribosomal RNA (494 nucleotides) under uncultured bacterium. RNAcentral's name for it is "partial 16S ribosomal RNA". It matches the Rfam family "Bacterial small subunit ribosomal RNA", at positions 28 to 507 of the family's 1533-position model. The record is from RNAcentral.